GCACCAUUGGAUGAGCCUGCACUUGAUUAGUUUGUUGGUGGGGUAAUGGCCUACCAAGACUGUGAUCAAUAGCUGAUUUGAGAGGAUGAUCAGCCACAUUGGGACUGAGACACGGCCCAAACUCCUACGGGAGGCAGCAGUGGGGAAUCUUGCACAAUGGAGGAAACUCUGAUGCAGCGAUGCCGCGUGAGUGAAGAAGGCCCUUGGGUUGUAAAGCUCUUUCGUC
Molecule: ribosomal RNA, 226 nt
Filed under: uncultured bacterium
Lineage: Bacteria
Description: partial 16S ribosomal RNA
Rfam family: Bacterial small subunit ribosomal RNA
Source: RNAcentral